GUGCUCGCUUCGGCAGCACAUAUACUAAAAUUGGGACAAUACAGAGAAGAUUAGCAUGGCCCUUGCACAAGGAUGACACGCAAAUCGUGAAGUGUUCCAUAUUUUU
This is a small nuclear RNA of Cervus hanglu yarkandensis (Yarkand deer), 106 nucleotides long. The record is from Ensembl. Lineage: Eukaryota; Metazoa; Chordata; Mammalia; Artiodactyla; Cervidae.